UCCGGUUUGACACCGGCAGUCUCCCUAGAGUGCCCGGCUUUACCCGCUGGUAACUAGGGACGAGGGUUGCGCUCGUUGCGGGACUUAACCCAACAUCUCACGACACGAGCUGACGACAGCCAUGCAGCACCUGUGACCGGGCUCCGAAGAGCUUUCCAGGUUUCCCCGGAAAUUCCCGGCCAUGUCAAGCCCAGGUAAGGUUCUUCGCGUUGCGUCGAAUUAAACCACAUGCUCCACUGCUUGUGCGGGCCCCCGUCAAUUCCUUUGAGUUUCAGCCUUGCGGCCGUACUCCCCAGGCGGGGCACUUAAUGCGUUUGCGCCGGCCCUCAAGGGGUCGCUCCCCCCGACGCCUAGUGCCCAUCGUUUACAGUGUGGACUAC
This 380-nucleotide unclassified non-coding RNA is filed under the name uncultured Gemmatimonadaceae bacterium. RNAcentral describes it as "contains 16S-23S intergenic spacer region". The record is from RNAcentral. Lineage: Bacteria; Pseudomonadati; Gemmatimonadota; Gemmatimonadia; Gemmatimonadales; Gemmatimonadaceae.